This 580-nucleotide long non-coding RNA is filed under the name Vigna radiata. Its description in RNAcentral is "long non-coding RNA (VRAD_LNC001305)". The record is from RNAcentral. Lineage: Eukaryota; Viridiplantae; Streptophyta; Magnoliopsida; Fabales; Fabaceae.
GUCUAUAUUUAUAGCCGUUAGGCCCAAUAAUUAGCAUUAACUGCAUGUAACCAUUGUAUCUUCUGUUUCCUUUUUCGUAAUAUUCGCCCAUUAAGGCUAUUAAUUUCUUUUCAACACUCUUUUCCUCGGUCCUUCACCACUCAGCCAUGUCUCCAUUUCUUCGGCUCACGGCCAACUGGUCCCUCACUACCCUUCGAUGUAAACCCGACCGAUCGGCCUCUUCCUCAUACUACAUAAGCCCCCCAAGCCCCGAGCGGUAUCGCAAGCGAAGGGGUUUUAUGAGCCCAAAGGUUGGACCAUCGCGACUGUUCACCCUCGAAUUUGCCCCCUCGCACCGUUUGAAGCUGAAAGGUUGCAAUUUGUCAGACGUGCGAUUGACUUUUCUCGGAGGAUCCAGAUUAGAUUACACGUCCAUCAACGCUGAAUUUGAAGAGACAUUUUCCCCUCUCCGUUGGAUCUUGCGCUAAUGAACGACUACGAUGAAUCCUUGAAACCGUUUUUGUCGGCUAUAAAUAGGUGGAUAGGACCCUCUUCAUUUACGUCCUUUUCACUCUCAGAUUUCUCUUACCAAUCUUCUCCC